UAUUGGAGAUUCGUUCCAAACU
This 22-nucleotide microRNA is filed under the name Caenorhabditis briggsae. RNAcentral's name for it is "Cbr-Novel-5_3p* (star (passenger))". The record is from RNAcentral. Lineage: Eukaryota; Metazoa; Nematoda; Chromadorea; Rhabditida; Rhabditidae.